Long non-coding RNA from Trichomycterus rosablanca, 779 nucleotides. RefSeq lists it as uncharacterized. The transcript has 5 exons. Lineage: Eukaryota; Metazoa; Chordata; Actinopteri; Siluriformes; Trichomycteridae. The record is from RefSeq and is a predicted model, not a curated record.
AAGGACAAACAUAUUCGGUCUACAAUUAAAAUGGACACGUUUAUUCACCCGACAAGCACAACUAGGUGGUAUGAGUUAGUUAUCCGCUGGGUGGGAGCGUUUCAUUCAAAACUGAGGAUAAUUUAAAGCACCAGAAACAGGAAACCUGAGCGCUUUAAACACCUGGAUUCAUCUACAGCCCUUCUGAGAGCAGCUACAUACAAACAGCAUCGAGGAGUCAUGGAGAGCAUCCUAAGUAGCUGCAUCACUGUCCGGUUUGGGACUUGCACUGUAUCUGACCGCAAGACUCUCCAGCGAGUAGUGAGGACAGCUGAAGAGAUCAUGGGGGUCUCUCUCCCAUCUCUCACAGACAUUUUCAACAAUCGCUGUGUCCGCAAAGCUCUUAGCAUUGUGGAGGAUCCAUCACAUCCGUCGUUAUAUUACAAACAUAAUAUUUUAAAAGGAUUACAUUAGUUACCUAUACCUACAGUUGUAUAGAGCUUGUGGUCCAUCUUUUUUGAUUAAGGGUCGUGAUGUAUAUAACAGUUAAUUUUUGUCCAGCUCACUCAGCCACCUUCUGUUAUUUGGCCUACACUGAUCUUGCACUGUUUUGGAUACUGCUUUUCGUGAUGCCACUCCUGCUGCCUGAGUGAAUCAAUAAACCAUUUUUAACCAUAAUUACAGACCAGUGUCAGGAGGCAGGAGAUCAGCAGUCAAUUAUGGCAAGACAAAACUUUUUCUUUUUUUUUGGCAAACUUAGAAUAAAUAAAAAUAUUUGAAAUAAAAUAUUGAAAAAUGUG